This 6873-nucleotide long non-coding RNA is filed under the name Sus scrofa (pig). RNAcentral describes it as "lncRNA (ENSSSCG00060025513.1)". The record is from RNAcentral. Lineage: Eukaryota; Metazoa; Chordata; Mammalia; Artiodactyla; Suidae.
GUGAAGGCUCCUAUCGAGGGAGGGUGAGCCUACCUCUGUUUUUUGCUUUGCUCCAUGCUGCUGCCUGGAAUGUAGAUGCAGUGGCGGAAGCUCUAGCAGCCCCCUUGGACCAUGAGGACAAGUGUCCCACACUAGGGAUGGUGGAGAGUGAGGUAGAAGACAUUUGAGUCCUUGGUCACUUCCUGGAAUUCUGUACAGUUAACUGAUGGUCUUAGCUUCAGGUGCCCAAAAUUCAGAGCCUGUGGAAAUGGCUCAUGUGCUGUCACUUUAAUGGGGAUGCAGCUCAAACGGAUGAAGAAAAGAAGGAAAGAGACCAAAUACAAAAAUGCACAACUUGCAGUUGGAAUCAAGUGUGACUUGUUUUUUACAGGACGGUUUUCCGAGAACCUGCUCUCAGGGAUAGUAAGUCUGGAUUAAGGAGGGAGAAGAGUUUACUCCCAUUGGUUAAAAUUUGCUCCACAGGGCGAGUUUACCCUCAUCUGGGCAUGCGUGAGUGCCAGGGCCAAUUUCCUGGGCAUGUGACCAAUGAAGUCAGCUGACCUCAGAAGGGGGCCUGCUCUUGGAGUUUAAUGCUCUCUUGUUGCUGCCUGGAAAUUCUUAAUAAUUUUAUUUAUGAAUCUGUGCUUUGCAAGUGGAACCUGAGGGACCAUGAAGCAUGGGUUGAGGGGGCUUGGAGUUUCUGCUCAUGGCAGCCUCUUCUCUUCCCUGCCACCCUGGGAUAGUUUCAGCUCCAGCUUUGCGCCCUAAGUCAGUCCUGGGUGGUGCCCUAGACAUGGGAGAGCCUGCACUCAGCUGGUGUGUGCCUGUCUGCCCGAGGGAGUACGACAAAAAAGAGCAGGUAAAACAUACCAAGACAGGUCAAGGGAGAGCCUGGAGAAGAAAGAAAAAAGCUUUUUGAACAAGGGUCUCCUAUUUUCACUUUGUACUGGGCCCUGCAAAGUCUGCAGCUGGUUGUGAGGGUCUGUGUGUGAAUAGUCUGUGUAGCAGGCCUUGGUGUCAAUUGGGAAGCCUGGAGCAGCUUGGCUUGGCGUGGAGCAAGGUGCUACCUACCAGCUUUAAUGUGCCUGAAGUGGGUCAGAGACCACAUGGAGAAAGUCACUCCAGUUGCAACUUGCCUGGAUGAGUGAGACUGAGAAGGUCUGGACCGGCACAAAAGAAAGAGGUGCUGAGAACAGCUCUGCUCUGGCAUCUCUCACAUCAGUUGCACCCUCCCAGCAUAUUUGGCUCUCACACUGUACGAUGUCACGUGGCCUUCAUUUUUGUAACAUCAAGAUGUUUUUGAUGUCUUCCCUGAGAAAGGAGUUCAGUACCUCACGAGAUGAUGGCCAGCCAUCCUUUCUGAGAAGAUUUAAGGUUCAUGUUUGCAGAAUUUCAGAAAGUUCUUCCAGUUCUUGAAAAACCAGAAUGAUUUUUCUUUGUACCAUGUUUCUGUAGUUACAAUUUUGUUGCAGGAAAAGACUGCAAUAAAUUUGGAGGAUUUGGCAGGGGGGAGGCACUGAAUAUUUUCCUUCACUGAAAGCAAUUGAGUCUAUAUAAUCCCUUUCCUAUAAGUGUUCACCAUUUGCGUCUUUCCCUGUCUUCCUGACUUCAAAGGGGGAGGUGGGUACGUUUUCCAAUUUGCAGGCUUUCCUGUCCAUAUUUGAUUUCUCUAGAUAAUUCUUGGGAUGAUUAUGAGAUUUGGUUGGUGGGGAUUGUGAACACCUAUGUGCCAUUUGAAUAACAGCCCUGGGCAUUUCUAGCGGAGCAUGUGACCAAGAAUUUCGAGACAAGUGCUUAAUGGUUGGAGUCCCUUGAUAAGCGUGCCCUUCCCAAACAUUAUAUGGGAUGUGAUUAGAACAGCAUGAUGCAUUUUGUCUCCAGGGUGGUUUUGGCAACAGCAGGAAUCGGAGUUCAUCCCUCCCAGGGUGAAAGAUUGAACCGAAACCCCCAGCCAGAAUUGCCUGUUUCCUCCCUGGUGCAAAUCACUUUCAUAUUUGUAGCAGCUGGCCCUGCUCGGUCCCUGAAGAGGCAAUUGCACAACUUGCUGCACACGUCCUGGAGCCCUACCUUUGUGCAGCCGAUCCCUUCUCAGUAAAAUGUUCUCAGCGCACAAAAGCAGCGGCUGAGGGGAACAGCUCCGGGCAGAGAGGGAGGAGGGAGCUGGCCGGCUGCAGCGCCCCACACCAUCUCCAGUGGAAACGGACGCUGCUCACCCUGCCUAGGAAACCAAUGGAGCGUCCCUAAGAAACCCACACUUCAGCUUGGCUCACCCCAGCUUUCUCCCCCACCUCCAGACCCCCAGGUGAGACUCAAUCCAACCCACCAACCGCGGCGGCAGCCCCAUCAGCCUGCCUGCUGAAGGCGGGCUUGCGGCAAGCUUCGCACCCCCAAAUUCCACCUGACCCCUAGCAAGUUUUGUUUUGUGAAAAGAAAGCCUGUCACCUCCAUUUUCCUUUGUUUCCCAGCAAAUCCUUAUUUUGUGGUAACUUACAACAUUUCCUCUGGGGAUGGGAUUAAAAAAAACCUGGAUAUAAAUGUUUACAGUGCAGAGUCCUUUGGCUUAUUAAUGUGUGAGAUUUCAGAGAUGCCUGCUGACUAACCAGGUUACCCACACGAGGAGAAUGGUGGCCGAAAGGCAAGGGUAUGAACGUGAUGCUGCUGUUUGCGGGCAUCCGAGUCAGCAUUUGUAUUUAAAUAUAUUUCCCUCUAAGAAUUUUUAAUUGGAGAUUUUGUCUCGAGGUGCUCCGAUAAAUCAGAGAAGGAGCCAAACCAAGUUAUUUCGCUUCGUAACCAAGCUUUAUUUCGGGGCUUUCUUUCUCCUGCGGUUCUUGCCCUGAAGCGAUCUGUAAAGCAACCCACUCUGAUACAGUUUGAAAAGUGCAUUUUGUACUUGGCUCUUUCUUUGAUCGAAUUAAUCUGGGCUUUUUUGUAGUUCUAAAUGAGGCCUAUGGGCUGACAAUGUAGCUGUUUAAAGGGGAUUUUAGGGGAUAAUAGCCAAUGCAAAUAGUGCCAUGAGAAUAGCAACUUGCUUUUGCACUUUCAAUCACAUAAUAACUGCAAAGAAAGCUUUUAAAAUGAAUUGAAAUUUUGUGGCAUGCCAUCUGGGAUUAUUUGGGGAAACAGUUCUGAAUACUGCAGUUGGACCAAAGAAUGGUGGUACGUCGUCUCUUAAGCUGACAUGUUUCAGAUGGCCACCUUAUGCUAACUGGUGCAAAGUUGGCUAGCAUUUUUUUUUUUUUAAUUUUAUUAUUUUCUUUCUCCAGGAUUAUCUGCAAAAAUUCUCUUUGAUUGCUGGUAUUUGGGUCUGAAAAACUUUUCCAUUGUUGAAGUGUUCAAUUCAACCCCUUGCAGCUGCUGAUCCCCUCAUUGUUCCCCUCGUUAUGUGUACGCGUCUCAGAUGAAUGUAGCCAAGCCUUUUAGUGCCUUAAUAGGUGUCUACAUAAGGGUCAUUUAUUCUGCCGUACUUGUUUUAACAAAAGUUUAUACACAAACAACAACCACAGCUAAAACAUUCACAUUAAUCAAUUUCCUCCUGAUUGCAGAAUGCAGAAACUGCCUCAAGCCAGAGCCCAGGCAUGAAAAAUGUUUUCUGUGUAUGAUGGUGUAGAGCAGAAAAUAGUUUAAGCAAUUUCGUCAAGGGCAAAAGCAGGGCAAAGCAUAGUUGUGGCAACAUACCUCCUGGCUGAGAUCUCCCAUUCUGGUGUUUCUGAGUCUGUGUAGCUAUGGCAGGUUACUGGGAGGGCAGAGAGCCUCUUAAGAAUUGGAGUGCAUUGAGGUUUGAGCUCUUCCCUAGAUGUUCACCCUGGUUUGGGAGCUGUUCUCUGUGAACUUCUGGUGGGCGUCAGUUACCCACUCUGUAGGAAAGGCUGUGUAGGUGAUAAUCGGAAUCUGGAGAAAUUUGCAUAAGGGGUAUCUGGAACGUGCAAAAAAUAAAUCAUUUCCUUGCAGGUGUGAGAUUCCCUGUGAGAAAAAAGACAACCACAGCCAUCCCCUUCAGUCGGCAAAGGCCACAGAAGGCUGCUUUUAGGAUGAAAUAAGUGAUGAAAAUAAUAGCCACCAAUCAUAAAUGCUGGGAAGGGUGCUGACAUGCUACCUAAACUACUAGACGUGGGGACAGGCUAGUGGGGGUUUCUAAGGGGUCUCGGUGCUGUUCUCUGGUGCUGUGAGGGGAGUGCCCAGCUCAAUGGACAUCAUGUGGGGAUCAAAAAACUCUGGCCACGUGGGUGAGGGAGCAAGGAGUCCCACCCACUCUGCCUCCCUGAGCAAACCCAAAGAGUUUGCCUCAGCUGCCCCACCAGUAAUUCAGAGACACCCACAUUCUGUAGUCCAUCUCAGGAUGGCACCCAGUACCUAUUCAGGGCACUGUCUUCACCCAGAUCCUUCAGGGCAAAAAUAAACACACUAUAUGGUGUCCAUAGGCUAUUCUCCUUUGCCGUAUGGGUUUACCUGCUCAUUGAUCUUUCAAGUUUAAUACUGCACUUGAGCAGUUAAGGAGUCAGGUCCUCAGAUGCUUUGGAGGUUUUGUGCAGGUCAGAAAGCUCUGCGACAUGGUCUCUGGAUGUGGUUCCACUGCUUCCCCCAUCCUCAUCUGAGGGUCUCUUCCUACCCUUUAUUACAUCUCCUGGGCUGAGGACCUUCCCCCUGGAGCCAGCUGGUUCUCUCAACCACUUGGGUUAGAUGGGUGCUUCUCAAGCUUUAAAGAGGGUGUGAAUGACCUGAGAUGUUGUUCAAAUGCACAUUCUGUCUGAUUCGGUUGUUUUGAGAGGGGGCCUGAGAAUCUGCAUUUCGGACAAGCUCCCCGGUGAGGCUGAUGCUGCCAGGGGCUCUAGAUCCUCAUUUACCUGGAGAUGAGAUUUUGCUCUCACUGUCCUAGAGACAAAGUAUCUAUCUGUUAACUCAUGGGAAUAACAAUGACCAUUGAUGCAAUCAUGGAUUUCUUGGCUUUUCAACAGUCGCUUUGGGGAGAUUGGGAAGGGUUUGGAGGCUUAACCUGAGCUUUAUCUUGUACCUAAUUUGACUCUUUGGUUCCAAGCAGGCGACAAAGUAAGUGACAUUUGGUCUCAAUCUUUGAUCAUUUCUAUCUUAGCCACUCAUUUUUAAUAUUACUAAAUAUAUACCAGAUGCCUACUGUAUGCAGGCACCAUGCCAGAUACAGCGAAUACCGGGCUGGCAAAGAGAUGUUAUUCCUGUCCUCAUGUGGUUUAUGCUCUUAGCGUCUCCAGCAGCUGGCCUCAAACCUGGCUGCCCACUGAAAUCACCGGAGGGAGUUUCUAUGACUAACAGAUGCCUGGGCCCCGCUCCCACUCCCAGAGUCAAAUUUAGUUGCUUUGAGAUGGGGCAGGGUCAUCAGCAUUUUUUUCACUUCUAAGAAUUCCUUUUAUUUUAUUUUUUCUCUGCACAAAUGAUGUCUUAAAAGAUAUCACUGAAAAACAAUCAACGGUUAACCAUUUACUUGUUUAGGGAUGUGUAGGUUAUAUCCAUAUUUUGGCGAUUGCAAAUAAAGCUGUUACGAAUACUUAUAAUUCUGGGUUUUGUGUGAACAUCAGUUUUCAUUUUUUUUUCCUGGAUGAGUGUCCAAGAGUACAAUUGUUUGCAUGUUUAGUUUUAUAAGAAACUGCCAGUAUGGUGAUCACUGUUAUUCAUAGUAAUGAUCCUGGAAUAUUGGAUUUUGAAGUGCUUUCUGAGUUAUCAAAAUUUGUUGCAUCAAUGUUAUUACUGGUAGACUCUGCUGUUUCAUAAUUUUCUGCAUAAUUGGUAAUACACGGAUGGUCUCCUUAAGGCGUCUCCUAGUUAGUGUUUGCUCAUCCAGAGCGUGCUCCUUCCCAUCCCCUGGAUAUUCAGGAGUUCAAGUUACCUGGACCAAAGAGAACUCAUGGGCUCCUCCUCAGAUUGGUAACAGAGGGGCUUAUCUGUUGGUCCAGACCACCAGUCAGGUUGGAUUUCGAAGUCCAAGCAUCCAGAAGGGCCAAACCAAAGGGCUCAUUUUUUGUUGGUCAGGCUAAAAUGGCACUCUCCUGGCACCCCCACCUCUAGUCCCGUAGAAAUAAUGACAACUGACUCCUGUAUGGUACUUCCUCUGCACUACACACUAGUCUAAGUGUUUUACGCUUGUUAACUUACUUAAUUCUCCUUACAACCCUACAAAAUACAUCCAAUUCCUAUCCCCACUUUAUUGAUGAGAAAACUGAGGCAUGGAGUCCAUUGCCUUUCACAAAAGUGUGCCAAGGCAUAGGCUUUAUAAUAGGUUUUUUAUUUGAGUGCCCAAUAUUUUUACUGUGAUGUGUCCCAAGUUGUGGUUUCCCCUUGUGAAUCAGUGUAUCUGUUAAGUGACUGUAUCACAAAGCCUGUGGACCUACAUGCAGUAUUCCAGUUUGAUGAAAUGGUAAGUCUCAGUAGGAUGUGUUAAUUGUGGAGCUUCACAGAUGGCAGAACAAGAUCAAGAUGGAGUCAUGUUAUUCUAAAUGCCAUCGUGUGUGUCCACAGUCUUGCUGAAGCCUGCGUACUUUGCCAGUUCCUGGGACUAUGGAGUAAUCUGUGGAAUGGUAUUGUUUUCAUAUAUUCAAGAUUGUGAUUCAACACAAGGCGCCAUUUGUUUGUGUUUACGGGUUGUAAUUUCCCUGCGGGCACCUUUGAAGAUGAAGGACAGGCUUCCUGUAGAAACCCUAAUAUGUUUUAGAGGGAUUAUCUGAAGUUUCUACCUGCUCUCUCCCUCCCCUAGGUUGUCAUGUUUACUAGAGAUGGACUGAUCUAUGGACUCCACAGUGUUUUUUAUUUUAUGGUAGUGUUCACAGGCUCUGAAGGGAUUUGGAUAGCUUUAGAUUUAAUCACAGAUUGCUGUUUCUUGGUGUAGCAGGUAUUCAUUUAAAAAUAAAAUGACACCUCAUUAUCCCACAA